This 1178-nucleotide long non-coding RNA is filed under the name Chinchilla lanigera (long-tailed chinchilla). RNAcentral describes it as "lncRNA (ENSCLAG00000028760.1)". Lineage: Eukaryota; Metazoa; Chordata; Mammalia; Rodentia; Chinchillidae. The record is from RNAcentral.
CUUUUUUUUUUUUUUUUUUUUUGCUGGUACACGGGAUUGAACCCAUGACCUUCACACUGAGCUAUGUCCCCAAUCCUUUUUAUUUUGAGAUGGUCUCAUCAGGUCUAACAAAAGGGAACUUUUGUGUUCAGGGAUGAGCUUGUAGUGGUUUUCCCAAAGCAGCUUUAUGAGACCUGUUACAUUCUAUUACCAUAGAGAAGGCAUGGUGGUUCAUGCCUGUAAUCCUAGCAGUCUGGAGGUUAAGGCAGGAGGAACUAGAGUUCAGAGCCUAGGCUGCAUAGUGAGACCCUGUCUAAAAAGACAAACAAAUGAAACAACUUAAUCUUCCAUAGGAAAGCUAAAGAAGAUGCUCAGACAACCGAGAAAACAUGAGAAAGAAAAGUCCACUACUGCAGUGAAUGGUUCACACGGACAGUAGACACCGUGAGUCCCAGCCUCACAGAACAUCAGGGCUGGAGGAGGCCUCAUAGAUGACCCCGUCCAAUUCCUUUGUACCGCACGUGUGGGACCUGGAGCCUGAGGAGAAAUGCCCACCUGAAGUUACAAAGCGAAAAAUGGCAGAGCCCUGGACUACAUCUUGUCUCCCAUUAGUAACUCAGCAGGGUUUUGGAGAACCUGAAGGAAAUACUUUGGGUUUUAUCUUCAGUGUGUGUCCAGUCCCAACCACUGUUCCACCUCCUCCGCUACUACUCUGGACUGAGUCUUGAUCAUCUCUCAAAUGAAUUACUGCCAGUGAAAAACACCCGUGCCUUCCUGUAGUGUACUCUCAGUAAACCGGUAAGUGAGCUUUGCAAAAAGUUAAUCAGGUCACAUACUUCUCCUUCUGAACCCCACGUUGGCUCCCAACAUGGGGGUGAGAGCCACAGGACUUGCAGUGAUUUAAAAGGAGCUAUAAAAUCUGGCUUCCAGCUGGAUGUGGUGGUGCAGGCCUGUAAUCCCAGAAUUCUAGGAGGCUGAAGCAGGAGGACUGCAAAUCUGAGCACAGUUUAGGCAAAUUAGCAAUUUACAAUCCCUGCUCAGGGCUGGGGAUAUAGCUCAGCGGCACAAGUGCCUGCCUGGCAAGCGCAAGGUCAUGAGUUCAAUUCCCAGUACCAAAAACCAACAACAACAACAAAAACGAUCCCAGCUCAAAAGAGGGGGCUGGGGCUGGAGCUGUAACUCUGUGUAAAGGUCCUGGG